UACACGCUGGCGGCGUGCCUAACACAUGCAAGUCGAACGCGAAAGGGGAGCAAUCCCUGAGUAGAGUGGCAAACGGGUGAGUAACACGUGGGUGACCUGCCUUCGAGUGGGGGAUAACCUUCCGAAAGGAGGGCUAAUACCGCAUGACAUACCGUGUUUGGAUACAUGGAUAUCAAAGCCGGGGUAUCGCAAGACCUGGCGCUUGAAGUAGGGGCCCGCGUCCGAUUAGCUAGUUGGUGGGGUAACGGCUCACCAAGGCUCCGAUCGGUAUCCGGCCUGAGAGGGCGGACGGACACACUGGAACUGAGACACGGUCCAGACUCCUACGGGAGGCAGCAGUGGGGAAUUGUUCGCAAUGGGCGAAAGCCUGACGACGCAACGCCGCGUGGAGGAUGAAGAAUUUCGGUUCGUAAACUCCUUUCGACCGAGAUGAAUACUCACGGACCUAACACGUCCGUGGGCUGACAGUUUUCGAGAGAAGAAGCCCCGGCUUAACUCUGUGCCCAGCANNCCACGGGUNAAUACACGGGGGGGCCAAGCGUUUUGUUUCCCNAAAUNAC
This 560-nucleotide ribosomal RNA is filed under the name uncultured bacterium. RNAcentral describes it as "bacterial SSU rRNA". It matches the Rfam family "Bacterial small subunit ribosomal RNA", at positions 33 to 541 of the family's 1533-position model. The record is from RNAcentral.